GUGUCUUGUUUCUCCGUAAGAGAGCUCAAAUUCAGCACUAAUGCCUGUUUGACUUUGUUGCCUCAUUGCUCUGGAAUCUGGGAUAAAUUGCCGCCGUUGUUCAUCUUGGUAGUCUUGCUUGGAAACUCUGCAGGCUUGUUUCUUCUUUGGUUGGCUGGCUGACAGAUGUCCAUCAGCUUCGUCGUUUACCCCCACCCCAACACAGCUCCAGGCCCCACAGCACGACAAGAAAACCUGGCAAUAACUGCUCCAUGAAACAUGGCCCUAUAAAUGGACACCCAGUAUUCUGGCUGUCAAGAUGACAUUUAAAAAGCCUUUUUUUCCCCAUAGUAUAUUUGUUACUGCAAUUGUAAUGAUCUAAAUCAUACAGUUAGUUAUCAUAAUCCUUCUAUCUGCAGUCAGAUUUUUUUUAUUGUCACAGUUUGUUUCACAUGAUUUCUGUUUACUCUCCCCUCACUGAAUUGUAUUUAGUUCUCCAAUCUGCACAAUGUGAACAGAAACUUUCUAUGUAAGUAAUGUAUGUAAUAAUGACACACACAGCAUUUCUCUGUCCCUGAUUGUGAAAAGUCCAAAGGCUCAGUUUUCAUUCAUUAUCUCCCUAACUCAAUUUCCGGCCGAGCAGCAGAUAGUUACAGCCCAUAACUUUAAGGUAUGCUUACUAAUAACCUGUAAUUAGUUUCUUGUUAAGGAAAGAAGAUAAUAGAAGAGAGGAGAAAAGAAAAGAAGAGAGGAAUGUGAUAAAUGAAUUAAAUACUCCAGCUGCAUGCUGUAAUGUUAAACUGAAACAUCUGCCUCUCCAAAAGAGCAAUCUUGAUUGUCUGCCUUAUCUUUGUUUACUGCUACAAUAGCCUUGUACUGUCUCCAUUUGGUAAACAGAUAAGAAUUGUUUUCUAGAAGUAAAGCCACAGCAUUGUGAUAAAUAGUUGUUAAAUACACCAAAUUUGACUUGUGUUAGUAAGUCAUCCAUUGGUGAAGUCAUCAUGGGCCAUCUUUUAAGAGAGAUAAGAAAAACAUAAAAACAGGUGAUGAUGUCUUCUUUUACACUUCUUCUUUUAUCCUCUAAAAUAAAGUGUAAUCAUUUUCUCCAUUA
Siniperca chuatsi (mandarin fish) is the source of this 1090-nucleotide long non-coding RNA. RefSeq lists it as uncharacterized. NCBI's taxonomy places the organism in Eukaryota, Metazoa, Chordata, Actinopteri, Centrarchiformes, Sinipercidae. The transcript is spliced from 2 exons. The record is from RefSeq and is a predicted model, not a curated record.